AAACUCAAAUGAAUUGACGGGGACCCGCACAAGCAGCGGAGCAUGUGGUUUAAUUCGAAGCAACGCGAAGAACCUUACCAAGGCUUGACAUCCCCUUGACGCGCAUAGAAGUAUGCGUUCCCUUCGGGGCAAGGAGACAGGUGGUGCAUGGUUGUCGUCAGCUCGUGUCGUGAGAUGUUGGGUUAAGUCCCGCAACGAGCGCAACCCUUAUCAUUAGUUGCCAGCGCGUAAUGGCGGGAAUUCUAAUGAGACUGCCGGGGAUAACUCGGAGGAAGGUGGGGACGACGUCAAAUCAUCAUGCCCCUUAUGUCUUGGGCUACACACGUGCUACAAUGGCCGGUACAAAGGGCUGCAAACCCGUAAGGGGGAGCGAAUCCCAUAAAACCGGUCCCAGUUCGGAUCGUGGGCUGCAACCCGCCCACGUGAAGCCGGAGUUGCUAGUAAUCGCGAAUCAGCAUGUCGCGGUGAAUGCGUUCCCGGGUCUU
This 485-nucleotide ribosomal RNA is filed under the name uncultured Lachnospiraceae bacterium. RNAcentral describes it as "bacterial SSU rRNA". It matches the Rfam family "Bacterial small subunit ribosomal RNA", at positions 897 to 1382 of the family's 1533-position model. Lineage: Bacteria; Bacillati; Bacillota; Clostridia; Lachnospirales; Lachnospiraceae. The record is from RNAcentral.